This is a long non-coding RNA of Bombina bombina (fire-bellied toad), 469 nucleotides long. RefSeq lists it as uncharacterized. The record is from RefSeq and is a predicted model, not a curated record. Lineage: Eukaryota; Metazoa; Chordata; Amphibia; Anura; Bombinatoridae. The transcript is spliced from 3 exons.
GCUGAACACAGAUCCAUUCUUUUUCAUGCCCCCAUUAAUGCUUCACAGACAAGAUGUCUCAAGCAACAGAUUACUUUCAUAGGUCCAGUCUCAUCGUUCAUAUUUAUCCAAAUGGUUAGAGAAGAACCCAGCGGUGAUCAUUCAGUGGCUGUAUGAAGCAGAUGUCUUGUCCCAGGACUCAGGAGCAAUAUUUUACUCUUCUAGAGCGCCGGCCCAGCAGCAACCAGAUGAUUUCUCUGCUAGAGCUGGUGACCAAGAAUGAAGAGAGUUGCAGAAUAUUUGUGCAAGUCCUUUGGCAGGUGCAGGAACAUUACUGCCCCGAGCUACAAUCCUGGCUGAUGGAUACAUUUACUUUAUACUUCCAAGAGGCACCUGGUCCCAGUGAAACUGAGAUAACAGACAAGAAGAGGAGAUGGGGCUGGUUGAGACUAAAGUCAAGGAAAGAAAAGAAGUACAAACUGGACUCACC